This 870-nucleotide ribosomal RNA is filed under the name uncultured bacterium. RNAcentral describes it as "bacterial SSU rRNA". It matches the Rfam family "Bacterial small subunit ribosomal RNA", at positions 28 to 916 of the family's 1533-position model. The record is from RNAcentral.
AAUGAACGCUGGCGGCGUGCUUAACACAUGCAAGUCGAACGAUGAAGAUACUGCUUGCAGUAUCGGAUUAGUGGCGCACGGGUGAGUAAUAUAUAGAUAAUGUGCCUCUUAGUCUGGGAUAGCCAUUGGAAACGAUGAUUAAUACUGGAUACUCCUUCUAAUCUUAAGAUUAGUCGGGAAAGUUUUUCGCUAAGAGAUCGGUCUAUAUCCCAUCAGUUAGUUGGUAAGGUAACGGCUUACCAAGACAAUGACGGGUAGCGGGUUUGAGAGGAUGAUCCGCCACACUGGUACUGAGACACGGACCAGACUCCUACGGGAGGCAGCAGUGAGGAAUAUUGCACAAUGGGGGAAGCCCUGAUGCAGCAACGCCGCGUGGAGGAUGACGCAUUUCGGUGUGUAAACUCCUUUUAUAUGUCAAGAAAAUGACGGUAGCAUAUGAAUAAGCACCGGCUAACUCCGUGCCAGCAGCCGCGGUAAUACGGAGGGUGCAAGCGUUAUUCGGAAUCACUGGGCGUAAAGGACACGUAGGCGGAUUGGAAAGUCAGAUGUGAAAUCCUACAGCUUAACUGUAGAACUGCAUUUGAAACUUCUAAUCUAGAGUAUGGGAGGGGGAGAUGGAAUUAGUGGUGUAGGGGUAAAAUCCGUAGAUAUCACUAGGAAUACCUAAAGCGAAGGCGAUCUCCUGGAACAUAACUGACGCUAAGGUGUGAAAGCGUGGGGAGCAAACGGGAUUAGAUACCCCGGUAGUCCACGCCCUAAACGAUGAACACUAGUCGUCGGGAUGCUAGUCAUCUCGGUGAUGCACUUAACAGAUUAAGUGUUCCGCCUGGGGAGUACGGUCGCAAGAUUAAAACUCAAAGGAAUAGACGG